CCUACGGGAGGCAGCAGUAGGGAAUCUUCCACAAUGGGCGAAAGCCUGAUGGAGCAACGCCGCGUGGGUGAAGAAGGUCUUCGGAUCGUAAAACCCUGUUGUUAGAGAAGAAAGUGCGUGCGAGUAACUGUUCACGUUUCGACGGUAUCUAACCAGAAAGCCCCGGCUAACUACGUGCCAGCAGCCGCGGUAAUACGUAGGUGGCAAGCGUUAUCCGGAUUUAUUGGGCGUAAGGGGAACGCAGGCGGUCUUUUAAGUCUGAUGUGAAAGCCUACGGCUUAACCGGAGUAGUGCAUUGGAAACUGGGAGACUUGAGUGCAGAAGAGGAGAGUGGAACUCCAUGUGUAGCGGUGAAAUGCGUAGAUAUAUGGAAGAACACCAGUGGCGAAAGCGGCUCUCUGGGCUGUAACUGACGCUGAGGUUCGAAAGCGUGGGUAGCAAACAGGAUUAGAUACCCCAGUAGUC
This 465-nucleotide ribosomal RNA is filed under the name uncultured bacterium. RNAcentral describes it as "partial 16S ribosomal RNA". It matches the Rfam family "Bacterial small subunit ribosomal RNA", at positions 338 to 795 of the family's 1533-position model. The record is from RNAcentral.